UUCAAAACAUCAAGUCCAUGUGGAAAAUGUGAAUCAGAGGCCUCUUGGCAGAGACCGGACACCACAAGAGCCAGCGGCUGCCAGCCUGGCCCCUGCUGGGCUGCACCCAGGCCGGGGUCCGGAGCACAGCCCGUGCGGCUGCCCACACCACAGACGGAAGCCGGUCCCCUGCUCAAACUUGUCCUCACUGUGCUGAGGGUCAAGGGCUCACUUACCACACCUGCAAUGAGUCUCCAGUUUGCCAUGUGCCACGGCUCACUCCUGCCUCUGCCUCUGGAUGGCUGUACCCCUCGCCUGGCGUCCACCCAGCUCCGCUCAUCACUGAGGUCUUGGGGUGGCAUUGUGGGAGGGCCCUUCUCGAACCCCGUAUGAAGUUCAAUCAGAACAUCCCCAGAGACCCCUGGAUGCUUUUGCUCAGAAAACUCUUGAUUAUUUAGUUGCCCACCUCCCCUGUUGGAACGGAAGCUCAUGAGGAGCUACCGUGUCCGUGGUGUGCAGCUCGAUGCCCCACCCCCAGCACAGAGCGUGGCACGCAGUCACUGCUCACAGGUGACUCUGACACGAACGGAUGAGCAGAGGUGCAAACUAGGUGUGGCCGGGAGUGAGACCUUCUUGGCAGAAGUGCUCUGCGUGGGACUUCUGGCCCAGCCAAGCUGCCAGCGGAGAAGUGCAGAGCAUGUCAGGCGCUGUGUUCCCCGGAUCCAGACCAGGUACAGCUGACUGGUGUGCGGCUCCCUCUCCCGCCUCCACUGCCCUCCUGGAAACCAGCCUCACGGCCUCUGCCCCGCAGUGUCCUGGUGUUCUGAGAAACGUCCCUUGGGUUCAGGCGAGGUGGCAGGAGGUACGGUGAGCUGUAGCCGCAGCCCGCCGUCAGCCCCUCCCAAGGCGGCCGCCCCAUGCUCGGCUGGCCCCCAGGAGCACCGAGCCCAGGCAGCGCUCUGAAGGGGUCCGUUUCAGGAGCCCAGACCCACGGCGGCUGAGCGUCCACGAGAGGUCCCCCCAGUGUUUGCAUCUCUAAAAUGGGGACAGAGCAAGCCUGCCCCCAGCAUCCUGAGAGACCCUCCCCUCUAAGGAGACGAGAGGGCACUGCUGUAAAGCACACACACGUCUUUUCUGUGUUUCUGCUUUUGUGACAAAUCCCAUGAGGAACAAUAGCAACAAACCCAUUUUCACUGAACCCUAGGAGUGUGACACGACCGACCACUUAGGGAAUUUUCACAACCUCCCUCUGAGGUGGGUACCAUUACCCUCCCCACCUCACAGCUGGGGAAACUGAAGGAAGCCCAGAGGUGAUGUGAUUGGCCGAGGAGCAAACAGCAGGGCCAGAGCACAAACCCGGGGUUCCCGCUUGGGUCUCCCACUCUCCGGAUCAUUACCACGGCCCAGAGAGGAUGUUUAAAAUACAGAGGCUGCAGCCCUGAUGUCCCAUGACACGGUCUCCGGGCGGGGCCCUGGCGAUCUGCAUUUGAACCAGCAAAUUGCCCUCAGCCAGCUGUGAGCCCUGGGCCUCAAUUUUCCCAUCCGUGAAAGGGGUGACUCCUUCCCCACAGGCUGUUCUGGGGUCAAGCGAGGGGAAUGCUGGGUAUGUGUUCUAAACACAGCCCAGAGGUGCCUGGCAGAAGGUUCCACGGAGGAAGACGCCUCUGGGCAGCCCACCAGCCCCUCCACCUCCACCUCAGGGGCCCUUGGGCUAUAAAGGGCCCUCUGAAGAUGCCCAUACACCUCUGCGGGGCUGCAGCCAAGGCUCUUCCGGCUGCCUCCACCUGAGGCAGUAGCAGACCGGGGAGCCGCUCACAAGUCACCAGGUGGGCUGGGCCAGGGCACACGCCUAUGCAGCCUAUCUUCUGUGCAUUGUCUUUCCAGGCAAGAGCAGCACUCGGCAAACCAGCUGAGCUGGGGGCAGGGUGGACACCAGGACUACAUCGCACACCCCACACCGGGGACCCCACAGGGUGACACCAGCUGGGGCACUUGAUGGCCACCUCGUGGGCCUGCAGCAAAGACACACACACGUUUCACACACGUACACGCCCACAUGCACACUUGUAUCCACAGGCACUUCUCUGACAAACAGGGGUGGCUCCCCCUGAGGUCCUCUCCCUUGGCCAAACCCGCAUGCCCUCUCUCUUCUGGGCCGUUGCUGCCAGCACGCUCGGGUAAAGAUUCCAAAAUGACCAUUGUAACACUGUCACCUGCAGGGCCAGAGUCCCAAGUGGCAGCUGUAUCAAGGUUCAAACACAGAAAUACCUGUGCAAACUAAAUAACACUCACAGCCACGUGUUCUGGGCGCUGACCAUGGCAGGGCCACGCUGAGCGACGUGCCGAGUUAUCUCAUUGAAGCGCCACUGCCGCCCAGGAGGAAGGCGUCAUCACCAUCCCCGCAGAUGACCAGGGCGGGCUGCUAGCAAAUCAGAGAGCCUGCAAGGAGCAGAGAGACAACUCAAACCCAGGAGGGCUCUGCUCGUUCACCACUUGACAUAAGAGCCUUUAGUGUGCCCGGCACUGUCCUAGGCCCUGGGGACCCAGCAGUGACCAAGGCAGAGCAUGGCACCGAUGGCCCAGUGGGAGACUUGGAGACCAAGCUCUUAACCCUGGUGUCCACUCUUCCAAAGGCCACCGGCUCCUUCCAAAAGGAGACUUCCCUGCCUGGGGCCCUGGCAUCCGCUGCUGGAAGGAGGCCCUCUGAAGACCCUGUGAGGUGGUGGUCCAGAUUAGAUGACAUCAGCCAGCAGAAACCUGGUCCUGUAGGUUAGUCUACUGACACAGGCCCCGGGCAGACCGCACCAGCGUACUGGAAAAUCAAGAGCCACUUCCGACCUCGCUCUCCUCCUCUCUGUUCCUUCCCGGUGGGGUGGCCUUCAAGAAUCUUCAGGCACUGGGCUCACCGUGGAGGCAGCAGACAUGCAACACUGCCCACCCCCACUGCCCCGAGGAUGGCAAUGCACCUGAUUCUUUGGCAGUUUCCCUUUGGCAGGCGUAGACUCAAUUAUACUAGUCUCUGUUUGGGGUUUCCAGACACAGGCCUAUCUCUCCAGGAAUCUUUCCAGGACCAUCUCUUAAAGAUCUUAGGCAAAUCUCCCACUUGGGGAUGGAAUCCUAUCGGCCACUGACAUUCAUGGAGCGCUUACCAUGUGCCAGGGCACACAUUUGAACCACCUAUUAGUCUCAUCUUGCAAAUGAGGAAAGUAAGGCACUAAGAGGUGUAGUAACUCGCCAGGUCACAGAGCUGGUAGUGGAACACCUGAGCCCUGGGGUCUGUCUCAGGAACCUGGACUCUCAAACUCCAUCGCCUCUCUAUUAGGUCACAUCAAUUCGGUUUCUUUGCAAGUGUCCUCACGUUUCAGAGGUUCUCGGGGUGCCUGAGGCCCCUGAGCUGACUCCCCUCCCUGUCCAGGCCCCGGGCCUCUGACCUGGCCCACAUACCUCCCCACCCACUUACAGGGUCCCAUGGCUUUGUGCAGCCCAGCUUCUGCCUGAGGCCUGUUUCCCCUCAGGCCGCCUCAUCCCCACAAGCUGCCUAAAAGAACUAGGGUGCAGGUCUCACAAACGAGGGGAACUGCUGCGUGUGAGGCAGCAGGGAGUGUGGGGGGCAGGAAAGCGAGUGCCCCAUCCACAAGGUGGCUGCUCUUAGCAGCAGCUGCGAGCUGCCACGUGGCCACAGAGGCCAGGAAACCCCAUUUUUUUUAGAGGCACUGGAAAUCCAGUUUUUUAUGUGAGAUUUCCUAAUUUGAAAAUGCUUGCAUUGAACUCAAAAUUUUUUUAAAUCUGAGGACCAAAUAAUCACAUCUGUGAUUGGGCAGAAUUCCAGCCCCCAUGCUGCCAGUUUACAAUCUCCGUUUUAGAAGAUCAUGUCUGUUGGGAAGUUUCACAAAUGGGGGCAGAGAGCAGAGGGGCCAUGACAUUGAAUUAGGACCCACUAUGAGCCAAGAGCUGUGGGAGGCUCUCUCCUGAAUCCUGCACAGCAACCCUGUGGGGUCAGGGUUCAUGGCCCCAUUUGUAGAUCAGUAAGCAGGCUCAGAGGGGUGAAGUGAACUGCCCAAGGACAAACAGCGAGCGGGCAGAAUCGCCAGGAUCAGGACUCAGGUGCACCAGGCUCCGAGGCACAGCUGCCCAAGGUCUGCCUGGCAGCACGCAACUGCGGCUCUGAGAGUGCGGGGCAGGUGGAGAGCCAAGCGUGGCGAUGUGCCCAUGUGGCCCCGCUCCGAGGGGCCUGAGCGGGCGGGGCGGGGCAGGGCGGCAAACCUUCUCAUCCGGCCUUGACUCAGGGUUAGCUCAGCUCUGACAAGCACCUGGCUUCGCUGUGACCCAGUUUCGCAGCAUGGCCAGCCGAGCGAGCCGGGAAGGUCGGCAGUCGGGAGCGGAAGCGGCCCUGCCACGGGGCCUGCAGGGUGAAUCUGGGCAGGGCUCUCAGCUCUCGGAACCCCAGCCCGAUUCCAAAAAGGAGGGGCCGGCUCCAUCCAUCUUCAGGCCCUCCCAGCUCCCAGGCUGCCGUGACACCUAACGCAGGGCAAACCGCUCUGCCUGUCUUCCCGCCUGUGAAACGGGGCAGGUGAGAACCCCACCUCCGGGGUUUGCUGUCAGAACAGAACACAGUGGUGUAUUCACGGAGCCCAGCCCUGAGCCGCUCACAUCACUGACUUCCAGCAUCACCGCCACCGAACCGUCUAGCACCUGCGGCUUCUCACUUCCUCCCUCCACAGAGCCAGGACCCACCACAAUGGAAAACAAACAUCUGUGCAAUUAUUUGCACACUGUCACUCUGCCCAUCUUCCCCACUAGCCUGGAAAUGCCAUGAAGGUCUCAUUUGAAUGUUCUGAGGACAUAAAGAGAAAGUCUCAGAUGGGCGCUAUCCGGUCUCCAACCUCCCAUCUCUCCAGCACCUGCUGACAUCCCUUCUUUAACAGACCCAGCAACUUGAGCCAGAACUGAACAACUCUGCAUAAUAUCUAUCUGUGGCAGGUGGUACUGCUUUUCCAUUUUCAAAGCUGUUAUAAAGUUAGCUUUUGUAAAUAAAAAUGUUAAGCUCAAAAACUGAGUAACUUAAAGAAAAAAUUAUUAGGUAAAUAACAUGUGUUGUUUAGGAAUAUGCCCCAAAUUAUGAAGAUGGUACCAGAAUGGUGGAGGAUUAAAAAUGGGCUGAAGUUUACCAUAGCAGAGACGGUGACGGGAGCAUCAAAGCCCGCUCUUUCCUCUUCCUCCCGGGCACAUGGUGAGACCUGGUCUCCUGACCACUCCUGGAGCCACAUGAGGCCAGGUCCCCAAGUUCAGGACAAGGAAACAUGAGAAGUGAUGGUGCCACAACCAGACCCUCUCCGCAGCCCUCCGUGUCCUCCCUCCGCCUCCCCCACUGCCAGGCCUCAGAGGGGAUCCCACACACUCUCCGGGAGGACAGGGCCACAAGAUGGCAGGAGCCUGGGUCUCUGGGUACCUGAGAGGGACAGAGCAUCCCCACCCCCUUGGGACUUCACAUGAGUGAAAAGUGAACUGUUGCAUCAAAUCACUGAGAUUUUCAGGUUGUUUAUAGGAAUUAGCUGAUUUAGGCUAAUAUAAAAGGGGCAUUUCUAGUCUAAUUUCCUGCCAACUUGGGACUCUUCUAUGACAGCCUGGACGUCCUGGUGCUUUUUUCUGUAAUGUAUAAUUACUGAACCCCUAACAGAUGCCAGGCACAGGUGUAAGGGCUUUACAGAGCCGAGCUCAACUCUUCCUCGUGGCAGUGCUGGGAGCCAGGCACUAUUGAUUAAUAGGCCUGUCUUUCAAUGAGGUGACCAAGGCCCAGAGGGGUGAAGCACCUGGCCUGCAGUCACACAUUUAGCAAGUAGUGAAGCUGAGACUGGAACCCAGGACUGUCAGAGACGCACCAAGCCCUUACAUUGCCACAAUGCCCACAGCCUCUGCUGAGCAUAUCACCCAGGGCUGCCGUGCCCCGACUACACAAGACCCCUCAUGUAGGGCCUCGCUGGGUCCUGCAGGAGACAGCACAAGUGUGACCUUGCCAUGGCCUGGAGCCCUGCAAGUGAGACAGGAAGGGAGCAAGGGAGGCACGUGGCAUAGGGCAUGAUGGAGACAGGAGGGGCCGGCACAGUCAGGGAGGGCUGCAGGAAAGCACGGGGCAGUGGGAGGGCAGGGGGCAUCCCCACUUAGGAAGAACAGGGAGGGCUUCUUGUAGGAGGUGGUGCUUGAGGCUGGCUGCGGAGGGCGGGUGAGAUUUCAUCUGGCAUGGUUGGGUGGGGAUACGCUGUCUCACCUACAGCCAACAGCACCUCCUGGAUCCUCAGGAAUGAGCUCAGGGCAGGCCCGCCACCCUGUCUAUCACAAGCGGCCUAAAAGACUGUGGGACAAGACUCACGCCCACUCCUUAAAACCCUUCCCUGAGCCGGGUGAAACACUCCUAGUCUUUCCAAGCCUCCUUCUAUGGGCCUCGCUAUCAACUCUUCUUCCAAAGGGCACGGGGCGUAAUGGAAAGAUUGGGGAAGGGGGGACCACUCCAUAUCACGAUACCUCCUAGCCCCUCAGGAGUGAUACACAGCCCACCGCAGCGGGGCGUGCACCGAUGGAGCAGAAAGAGGUGCUGUUAAGUCACGUGAGACAGCCCAAGGGAUUCUAGGAGCUGGUGGUCCACUUCCCCGCAGCGGGGCCAGCCUACAGCAAGGAGGGUGAGGACAACGACAGCCGACCAGUGAGGAGCGAUACCGGGGGAGCCUGAGAAACGCCACCUGAACCAGGUGCUGAAGAUCCAGGCCACCUGAGACGUCACACGGAUGUCAGGUGCCCCCGGUGGAUGAACUGAGAAGGGUGCUCCACCCUAACCCAGUCCAAUCGUGAGAAAGCCUGGCACAAACCGAGGCUGGGGGGCAUUCUACAGCACACCUGGACAAUGCUCCUCAGGACUGCCACGGUCAGGCAGAACAAGAAACUGAGGAACUGUCCCCAGCCCGAGCAGACCGGGGAGACAUGACCACGAACGCAGUGUGGGACCCUGGAGUGGAUCCUGGAGCAGGAAAAGGACAUUGGUGGGAAACAGGUGAAAUCCAAAUUAAGUCUGGAGUGUAGUCCAUGAGAACGUGCCAGUGUCAGGGGCUCAGUUGUGACAAAUAUGGUAACAUACGGUGUGACCCAAGGUGAAAAUGGGAUGGAGGUAUCUGUAUAUCUUUACGACUUUUCUGUAAAUCUAAAUUAUUCCCAAAUAAAAAGUGUAUUUGAGAAAAAAAGAAAGAGAAAAGCAAAAUGCCAGAACUAAAACAUCAGUCCCACAAGACGGGGGGCAGCAGCUGUCUGGCUGGCUCAGUGCUCUAUCCCAGCUUCUAGAACACCGCCAGGCACACAGUAGGCCCUCAAUGAAUAUGUUCAAUGAACCAAUGACUUCACCACCACAGCUCGCUCCCGGAUUGUUGACAGUGGCUCCAAAGACCAGCCGGAGAAAGGGCAGGAUGGCCAGCCCAACCCUCCCCCACAGGAGGGGCUGCAGCUCUGCCCGGCUGCCCAGCAGGGGCUCAGCUGCCCACAGAUGCGCACAGUGACAGGAAAUGCACCCAGGCCUGGCCUUCUCCCCAGGGACCCAGAGAGCACCCCCCCCCCCGCCCCGCCCCAAGGCUUCCAUCACAACCAACCGUAAACACAACUAAGUAGACAGCAGCUGAUGUGGGGUGCCCAUGGAGCGGCCCCAAUAAGAUCAAGACCAUAACACUCCCCUCCAGGGCAUUUUUGCUCCGGGAAAGCGUGGUUAAGAAAGCCAGCUCUGGUGUCACACACAGAGCACUCGAGUCUCAGCCGUGUCAUCCAUGGUUUGUGUGACCUUGGCCAAAUCCUGUCCCCGCUCUGUGCCCAGCAUCCUCAUCAGGCAGCUGGGAACGAGGCCUGGCUCCUGCCUCACAUGAAGAUGAACUGAAGGAACCUGAGGAAGGCCUUCGGCCUGGCACUUGAUAAAUGGGGCUACUGCGGGCACCACUGUCAUCACAGCACAGCCCUGGGAGGUCACCUGAAGAGACACCCUGGGGGCUGAAGGUAUUAAAGGGUCUGGAGCAGUGGAGCGUCACUCAGCUUGGGCUGUGGCCAGCGCUGGGGCAGCCGAGGACGAAGGCCAGGUCCAGUGGCAGAGCUGGCAGUGCCAUCCCAGUGCCCUCCGGAGGGGGAAGCCCAGCUGCCAGGCCUGGAGGAACCGUGCCCCGAGGGGCCUCUGCCCAACCUGUGGGUCCCACCCUCCUCUGCCUCCGCCUCCAAGGCCGUGCCCAGCAGACCACCGCCCGAGAGCCCAGGGGCUCCACCCCAAGUCCUGUCCACCGGCUGGCAUAUGCUGGCCACACUGGUGCGUAUGACACACAGGCUGCACGCUGCUAGCCACAGACUGUCAUCAGCCCUCAGAAGGCUUUGGUUUGGCCUAGCAUGAACUAUUUUCACACAGUUUAGAAGAUUUUCGUCAUUUCUGCAAAAAUUGGGGAAUCUGUGGGGCAACAAGCCACAGAGCUGCCCUGGAGCUGCCCCUUCCAGAUGUCCGGUGGGCACAGGCCAUGCCAAAUCGCCCACCGAGGCACCCGCCUGGGCCCUGGGGGCAAGCAGGGUGUGACUGACCAUCUUCUCUCUCACCAUAGAUUAAUGUCCUGGUGUCUGGGGUUACCGCGUGGGCGCCACUCAGAAAGAGGAGUCCGGCUCCAGGUGUAAUCACCCCAGGUGUUCUCCGGUGAGCAGGUCCCCGGUUUCACCAGGUCCACCCACCAGAUGACCUUCUGCAGAGGUCUACCAGGGCUCGGCAAGGAGCAUGGGGCCAGUGCCGCCAGAGUGGGCCAGGAAGGGGGAGACACACCCUAUCUCUAAGCCUGCUUAUCUCGCAUUCCACAUGAGCUCCUCUCAUCCUCACGAAACCCCUGCAAGGAAAGUGUGAGCACCCCGAUCUGCAGAUGAGGGAAACUGAGGUUCAGAGAGGCCAAGUGUCAUGUCCAGGGUCCAGGCUAGUAAACACAGGGAAGGGACUUGAAUCCAGAGAGAUGUGCUGAACGAGCACAACAUGAGGGUCUGUUCCGAGGGCGGCCUGGCAGCCGGGGAAGCAUGCUGUGGGCAGCCCUCGGAGGGACGCGCAGUGUGGGAGGAUCUGCAAGGGUGGCAGGGUCGGCCCUCCACCUAGCGCUUCCCCCCCGAAGACCUGGAGUCACUUUCUCCUCACUGUGAAUGUACUCUUGGACGCAGCAAAACAUCCAGAGGCCAAAGACACCAGGAUGCCCCAAAGUUCUCAAGGGACAUUUUGGUUAAAUUCUAUAUGUCAGUGGCUCCUGGUGUGAAAGCAGGAGAGAGGAGGGCAGAGAGGGGAGGAGAGAGAAGACCUGGUGGGGAAUCAUAAAAAUCAAUGAUGGCAGAGUAUCGGCAGGCAGGAUGGCCCCAGGUGAAGCUUCCCAGCUCGGGAACCACAGACCCAGGUUCCAGCCUGAGCAGUGCACCUGCCCUGCUGCGUGCCCUGGGCCAGCCACCCCCAGCUGGGAACCCGGCUUCCUGUUUUAAAACUGAAUAAAACAGGGGCCAGCCCAGUGGCGCAGCGGUUAAGUUCGCACGUUCCGCGACUCGG
Long non-coding RNA from Equus quagga, 9550 nucleotides. RefSeq lists it as uncharacterized. The transcript has 3 exons. NCBI's taxonomy places the organism in Eukaryota, Metazoa, Chordata, Mammalia, Perissodactyla, Equidae. The record is from RefSeq and is a predicted model, not a curated record.